Selaginella moellendorffii is the source of this 752-nucleotide long non-coding RNA. RefSeq lists it as uncharacterized. NCBI's taxonomy places the organism in Eukaryota, Viridiplantae, Streptophyta, Lycopodiopsida, Selaginellales, Selaginellaceae. The record is from RefSeq and is a predicted model, not a curated record. The transcript is spliced from 2 exons.
GCCAGUCAAGGCAUGGCGCGCUAGCUCGAAGAGGAUAGAAGCAGCGUGGCUGGAAAUCACGUUGCUAGGCUAGGCGUGGCGAGGAAGAGCGUGUUCUUUCUUUCUUUUCCCUAGACGAUUGCAUACUGCAGACUAGGGCGGGAGCACCACAGCAGCGGCGAAGGCGCAGGACCAAUCUCGCAUGGAACCCAGCUCAGGUUCACAUCCAGGUUCGCAGCCCUUCCUCUUUUUUUAUAGGAAUGAGAAGCCAGUCGCCAAAGGCGAGCCGAUUUUCAAGCAUUAAGCUGAAGUUUUUGGAAGCGAGGAUAGACAAGGGUGAUAUAUGAAGAACAAAAGAAGGUUGCUUGUCCAACAGCAAGCAUAAACGAAGCUCAAGUCUCUAUAAGGACGAACUCGCGAGGAAAAGAAUGCAGGCAGCCAAAGAGCGAGGAACUCGGAGACGGUGAAGAUGCACGAAGAGCGUCAGCGUCGUCAGACUGAAAAGAAGAAGGAGCUUUGGUGGAGGCUGGGACGUGCCCACGAAGGCCGGCUGACGGAGAAUGUCAAAGAGGCUUUUGCUCGAGCGAACACACAGAAAGACAUUCGAUCAACACGCUGUUAGAGAUGAAAGUUUCUUUCUAGGCAUUUUACAGUUCCUACGUGGUCAAGCGCUGCGAGUUUUUAAUUGAGAAAGACUGGGAACAAUAUGUUUAGUUUGUUUUUCCUUUCCUUCUGAUCUAUGCCUGCAAACUAAAACAAAACUCUUGAUUGGA